AAAUAAUGAAGGAUCAAAUUCUGAUUGGAAAACACUUGCACUGUCAAACAAUCUCAAAUUUAAAAAGAUAACAAUACAUCACACUAUUAUCACUAAUACAAUCAGUGAUGAGAUGCAAAAUUACCAAAUUUAAAAUGAUUUCGACUGCAUCAAACUAUUAAACUAAUCAACGAUUUUCUCACACUUCAAACAUACAUCAAUACAUGAUAAAUCCGAGAGCUUCCCAUAGCAAUAACUGCCCCAACUAAGAACAUGAUCAACAACUGAAAAUCAGUUCCACCGUUCGAUUUAUACCCGGCAGUCAAAAUCUCCUAUACUCUCCUGUGUGCCCACAUGUUGGGAAUGGACAGUGUUUGUCAUGCGAACUUCCUACAAAUGAAAUUUAUAAUGUCAUUUACAAACAUUUCAACCUCAACUUAGGUAAGUUGGUCUAUGUAAAUCUCUUGGUCAAUUACCUGAACAUUGACUGGAGGUGAGACGUAGAUGGCUUUAACUGAGCAUAAGCAUUCAUUUUCUACUCAGUCAAUUUUAAAACUGAAUUCAUUCAUGAACAGUUUAGGAAGCUGAAAUUUAAGUUGGUCGAAAAUUAACUUCGCAUAAGCAGUUUCGAUUUCCAUAUCUAACUUGGUCGGAAAUUAAGUUCGAAAUAAAGAAGCUGAAAAUUAAAUAUGAAAAUAAUAUAACAAAUAGGGAAGCUGAAAAUUAAGUUCGAAAUAAUCUUACCCAUGGUGUCAUUGACGUCGAGGUCGUCGCCUCGGGAGCUGUCGGCUUCAUCACAAAAUUGCUCACCUUCGACCUAUGGCAUCAUCGGCCUCGGGUUCUUCAUCAUGUCGCCACCGACGUCGAAGUUGCCUGCACCGUGGAAUGGAUUUGGUUCAGAUUUGAUUUUGGAUUUGGGAUGAAAACUUUUAUAGUUUCGAAAGGGGGGAAAAUAUGCAGGGGAAACAGAGGCG
Molecule: long non-coding RNA, 953 nt
Filed under: Olea europaea (common olive)
Lineage: Eukaryota; Viridiplantae; Streptophyta; Magnoliopsida; Lamiales; Oleaceae
Description: long non-coding RNA (OEUR_LNC004364)
Source: RNAcentral